Molecule: non-coding RNA, 301 nt
Organism: Pelobates cultripes (western spadefoot toad)
Lineage: Eukaryota; Metazoa; Chordata; Amphibia; Anura; Pelobatidae
Source: the annotation of a GenBank genome assembly
CCGCUCUGCAAAUACUAGAACACACGGCUAUGCACGACAGCUGUACUACACUACACCUGCAGGAGCGCUAGUCCUGUAGAGGAAAUGUGCAACAUGCCACCUCUAACUGUAUCACCCCUCGUAUCACUCCUUGCUGUCCUAUCCCAGUCUGUGCCACCCCUAACGGUAUCACCCCUGGCUGUCCUACCCCUCGCUGUGUCACCCUAUCACUGUCCUAUCCCUCUCUGUACCACUCAGCUGUGCUAUUCAGUCUGCAUCACCCCUCUCUGUGCGCCUCUUGCUGUGCCACCCCUAACUGUAU